This 497-nucleotide ribosomal RNA is filed under the name uncultured bacterium. RNAcentral's name for it is "partial 16S ribosomal RNA". It matches the Rfam family "Bacterial small subunit ribosomal RNA", at positions 28 to 507 of the family's 1533-position model. The record is from RNAcentral.
GAUGAACGCUGGCGGCGUGCCUAAUACAUGCAAGUCGAGCGAACAGACGAGGAGCUUGCUCCUCUGACGUUAGCGGCGCGCGGGAGAGUAACACGUGGAUAACCUACUUAUCAUACUGGGAUAUCUUCGGGAAACCGGAGCUAAUACCGGAUAAUAUAUUGAACCGCAUGGUUCAAUAGUGAAAGACGGUUUUGCUGUCACUUAUAGAUGGAUCCAGGCCGCAUUAGCUAGUUGGUAAGGUCACGGCUUACCAAGGCAACGAUGCGUAGCCGACCUCUGAGGUGGGUCGCCGACACGAGAGCGAGGACAGUGUCCUGCCUCCUACGGGACGCAGCAGAAGGCUAUCGUGCGCAAUGGGCGUAAAUCUUACGGAGUGAGGGCGAGCAAGUUGUGACAACGUUCGGUUCGUAAAGCUCGACUUUUAGGGAAGAACACAUGUGGAAUUUGCUGAGGACCGCUUGACGGUACCUGAUCAAGAAGCCCCGGCUAACUACGUG